CAUGAGGGACGACCCUCAUGCCCUUUUUCCAACCUGCCGGGACGACCCGC
This 50-nucleotide non-coding RNA is filed under the name Hyphomonas johnsonii. RNAcentral's name for it is "Guanidine-II sequence". It matches the Rfam family "Guanidine-II riboswitch aptamer (mini-ykkC)". From Rfam's summary of the family: Simpler in structure and has fewer highly conserved nucleotide positions than the ykkC-yxkD leader. Despite this each of its two stem-loop structures directly bind free guanidine. Therefore, mini-ykkC RNA motif represents a distinct class of guanidine-sensing RNAs. The record is from RNAcentral. Lineage: Bacteria; Pseudomonadati; Pseudomonadota; Alphaproteobacteria; Hyphomonadales; Hyphomonadaceae.